Molecule: long non-coding RNA, 854 nt
Organism: Drosophila nasuta
Lineage: Eukaryota; Metazoa; Arthropoda; Insecta; Diptera; Drosophilidae
Exons: 3
Source: RefSeq, a predicted model, not a curated record
UUCAAUUCAUAUUAAAGCAAUGCUUAAAUUAUUCUUUAUCUAUAUUUUAUACAUUUUCAGAAUAUAUAUAUUUUUUGACCAUUAUGCAAAGUUUUUGAAAUGUAUUCAUUCUCAGUUCCGAGAGAUUUACAAUCGCAGUGCUAGAAAAAAUAUGAACAGGGCACGCCCUAAUAAAAAUAUGCAUGGCAUUGCUAUCUUUACGAAACUGAAAAGAACUAUUGAGAUGUUGAGAUACUGUUAAAAACGUAUUCGGAAUAUGGACUGAAUUAUGGGCACAAUUAACAGGUCAUAUUCACUGGAGGACUGCACUGCAGGACUGCGGUCGCGUUUCAAUUUUCGCCGAAGGUGGACCAAUAAAAAGGCGCGUCUACCUAAAGGCAAACAAGAUCGUCCUGCCUCGUCUCCUGUGUCUCCGAGAACAAAAAAUGGCACAAUUUUUAGUGGAAAUGCGAGCGCGCAAUAAAAACUGCCCAGGACUCGGCGAGGCUGCGAGACAAGGACUCAACAACAACUAACUGCCGUAAUUAGGACGUUUGUAGAGCAGCGGCCAGUGGACGGUGGACUGAGGGCUGAGGACUGAGGACUGGCAGACAGACUGGAAAAACGUGAAAAAAUCAUAAAAAGAGAAACGAAAUCGUUUAAAAAUUGGCUCGCUUUUUGUCGAGUGCCGUUGGAAAACAACGAAAAAAGAAAGAAAAAAAUAAAGAGCAGAGCGAACCACGAGCCGCGUUACAAUUGAGACAAAUAAUUAGGGCCACAAAAAGAGCGACGCUGACUGUCUCAAUGAAACGCUGCAAAUAAUUCGAGUACUUCGGACUACGAGUACCUGAGACGCCGCAGGGUUAUCAACUGAU